Molecule: ribosomal RNA, 497 nt
Filed under: uncultured bacterium
Lineage: Bacteria
Description: partial 16S ribosomal RNA
Rfam family: Bacterial small subunit ribosomal RNA
Source: RNAcentral
GAUGAACGCUGGCGGCGUGCCUAAUACAUGCAAGUCGAACGAACGCACGAGAAGCUUUCUUCUCUGCUGUUAGCGGCUGACGGGUGAGUAACACGUGGAUCACCUUCCUAUAUUACUUGGAUAAUUUCGUGAAACCGGUUCUACUACCGGAUCAUAUUUUCAACCGCAUGGUUCAAAAGUUAUACACGCUCUUGCUGUUACUUUUAGAUGGUUCCGCGCUGCAUCAGCUAGUUGGUAAGGUAACGGCUUACCAAGGCAACGAUGCAUAUCCGACCUGAGAGGGUGAUCGGGCACACUGGAAAUGAGACAAGGUCCAGACUCCUAAGGGAGGCAAGAGUAGGGAAACUUCCGAAAAGGGGGGAAGGCUGAAGGAGGAAAGACGGGGGAGUGAAGGAGGUCUUCGGAGCGUAAAACUCUGUUAGUAGGGAAGAAAAUAUAUGAGAGUAACUGUGCACAGCUUGAAGGGACCUAAUCAGAUAGGCACGGCUAAAUACGGU